GACGAACGCUGGCGGCGUGCCUAAUACAUGCAAGUUGAGCGCUGAAGGUUGGUACUUGUACCGACUGGAUGAGCAGCGAACGGGUGAGUAACGCGUGGGGAAUCUGCCUUUGAGCGGGGGACAACAUUUGGAAACGAAUGCUAAUACCGCAUAAAAACUUUAAACACAAGUUUUAAGUUUGAAAGAUGCAAUUGCAUCACUCAAAGAUGAUCCCGCGUUGUAUUAGCUAGUUGGUGAGGUAAAGGCUCACCAAGGCGAUGAUACAUAGCCGACCUGAGAGGGUGAUCGGCCACAUUGGGACUGAGACACGGCCCAAACUCCUACGGGAGGCAGCAGUAGGGAAUCUUCGGCAAUGGACGAAAGUCUGACCGAGCAACGCCGCGGGAGUGAAGAAGGGUUUCGGAUCGUAAAACUCUGUUGGUAGAGAAGAACGUUGGUGAGAGUGGAAAGCUCAUCAAGUGACGGUAACUACCCAGAAAGGGACGGCUAACUACGUG
Molecule: ribosomal RNA, 497 nt
Filed under: uncultured bacterium
Lineage: Bacteria
Description: partial 16S ribosomal RNA
Rfam family: Bacterial small subunit ribosomal RNA
Source: RNAcentral